UUUUGCUUGUCUCAAAGAUAAGCCAUGCAUGUCUAAGUAUAAGCAAUUAUACGGCGAAACUGCGAAUGGCUCAUUAAAUCAGUUAUUGUUUAUUUGAUAGUACCUUACUACUUGGAUAACCGUGGUAAUUCUAGAGCUAAUACAUGCUAAAAACCCCGACUUCGGGAGGGGUGUAUUUAUUAGAUUAAAAACCAACGCCCUUCGGGGCUCCUUGGUGAUUCAUGAUAACUUCUCGGAUCGCACGGCCUUGCGCCGGCGACGGUUCAUUCAAAUUUCUGCCCUAUCAACUUUCGACGGCUGGGUAUUGGCCAGCCGUGGUGACAACGGGUAACGGAGGGUUAGGGCUCGACCCCGGAGAAAACGCCUGAGAAACGGCGUUUACAUCCAAGGAAGGCAGCAGGCGCGCAAAUUACCCAAUGCCGACUCGGCGAGGUAGUGACGAUAAAUACUGGUACGGGGCUCUUUAGGGUCUCGUAACUGGAAUGAGUACAAUUUAAAUCCCUUAACGAGGAACAAUUGGAGGGCAAGUCUGGUGCCAGCAGCCGCGGUAAUUCCAGCUCCAAUAGCGUAUAUUAAAAUUGUUGAGAUUAAAAAGCUCGUAGUUGAACCUUGGGCCUGGCUGGCCGGUCCGCCUCACCGCGUGCACUGGUCCGGCCGGGCCUUUCCCUCCGGGGAUCCCCAUGCCCUUCGCUGGGCGUGGCGGGGAACCGGGACUUUUACUUUGAAAAAAUUAGAGUGUUCAAAGCAGGCCUAUGCUCGAAUACAUUAGCAUGGAAUAAUAGAAUAGGACGUGCGGUUCUAUUUUGUUGGUUUCUAGGACCGCCGUAAUGAUUAAUAGGGACAGUCGGGGGCGUCAGUAUUCAAUUGUCAGAGGUGAAAUUCUUGGAUUUAUUGAAGACUAACUACUGCGAAGGCAUUCGUCAAGGAUGUUUUCAUUAAUCAGGAACGAAAGUUAGGGGAUCGAAGACGAUCAGAUACCGUCGUAGUCUUAACCGUAAACUAUUAAGUCUAGGGAUCGGACGGUGUUAUUUUUUGACCCGUCCGGCACCUUACACGAAAGUAUAAGAGCUUAUUCUGGGGAAAAUACGGUAGCAAUACUGAAACUUAAGAUGAGA
Molecule: ribosomal RNA, 1115 nt
Filed under: Ophioceras tenuisporum
Lineage: Eukaryota; Fungi; Ascomycota; Sordariomycetes; Magnaporthales; Ophioceraceae
Description: SSU rRNA
Rfam family: Eukaryotic small subunit ribosomal RNA
Source: RNAcentral